AUUGAACGCUGGCGGCAUGCCUAACACAUGCAAGUCGAACGGAGAUAGGGGCAACCUUAUUUCAGUGGCGGACGGGUGAGGAAUGCGUCGGAAUCUGCCCUAUGGUGGGGGAUAACACAGGGAAACUUGUGCUAAUACCGCAUAAUGUCGAGAGACCAAAGCAGGGGACCGCAAGGCCUUGCGCGAUAGGAUGAGCCGACGCCCGAUUAGCUUGUUGGUAGGGUAAUGGCCUACCAAGGCGACGAUCGGUAGCUGGUCUGAGAGGAUGAUCAGCCACACUGGGACUGAGACACGGCCCAGACUCCUACGGGAGGCAGCAGUGGGGAAUAUUGGACAAUGGGCGCAAGCCUGAUCCAGCAAUGCCGCGUGUGUGAAGAAGGCCUCGGUUGUAAG
RNAcentral lists this ribosomal RNA (393 nucleotides) under uncultured bacterium. RNAcentral's name for it is "bacterial SSU rRNA". It matches the Rfam family "Bacterial small subunit ribosomal RNA", at positions 30 to 429 of the family's 1533-position model. The record is from RNAcentral.